UACUUCUGUGACAGAUUCAAUCUCAAGCUGCACACUGCUGGGAUCAUUGCUGCCAGUUUCGGAUUGGCGAAUCUUUUCUCCAGGCCCGGUGGAGGGUUCAUAUCUGAUGCAGUUUCAAAGAGGUUUGGAAUGAGGGGUAGGCUCUGGGCCUUAUGGCUUUGCCAAACAUUCGCUGGUGUCCUCUGCAUAAUUCUUGGGCUUGUUGGAUCUUUGAGUGUUUCUGUUGUUGUUAUGAUCAUAUUCUCUGUGUUUGUUCUAGCUACUUGUGGCAUGACCUUUGGAAUUGUUCCUUUUGUCUCAAGACGAGUGUUCUUUUAGUCAAGUUCAGACUCAUUGACACAAAGAGG
Non-coding RNA from Arachis ipaensis, 347 nucleotides. The record is from RefSeq and is a predicted model, not a curated record. Lineage: Eukaryota; Viridiplantae; Streptophyta; Magnoliopsida; Fabales; Fabaceae.